RNAcentral lists this long non-coding RNA (736 nucleotides) under Taeniopygia guttata (zebra finch). RNAcentral describes it as "lncRNA (ENSTGUG00000020893.1)". Lineage: Eukaryota; Metazoa; Chordata; Aves; Passeriformes; Estrildidae. The record is from RNAcentral.
UAUAUCUCCUGAGUUGACAGCUUUGGGUGAUUUGAAUGCUGGGGCAAGAAUCCAAAUGGCAAGCACCAGGGGAGCCUGAGUUAGUGAACUACCUUGUCAUGGGCAUUCCUACCAGCCCAGGAGGCACAGAGACACAGACUGUGGGAUUCCUCUUCAGGCAUUGAAAUGUGAGGUACAACCCACACAAAUGCUCCGGGAGAUGUUGGAAUACAAGUCCAAACACAGCCACAUGGUCACCAGCCAACAGAAGUGACUGGCCAGUAGUCACUGUAGCAGCCAGGUGGUCCAGAAUGCAGGAGCUGCUGAGUCCAUGUAGACAUUGACUGUGAGAUUAAAUGCCAAAAUCAUGAAGACAGGUCUUGGCUGUGCAUCUGAGAAUUGGGCAGCUCCACCUGAGGCUCUGCGAGCUCCAUCCUUGCCUGGACACAGACAGCCAAGACCCACUCUGAGCCAGAACUUGCAAGCUUCUCACUUUUUGGACUCCCUGGGUGUCCAGGCUCAGGGUUUGCUGCCUGGCAUCCCUCUUGUCCCACAGGCUGGGGCUGCUGCCAGUGCUGCUCACUCACAGCACAGUGACCCUGCCUCCGAGCAGAAGUCCCAGAUGCCCAGAGCCCGUGGCAGACCCGGCUGUCUGGGCUGGCCCAGCACCACAGACCCAGAGAGAAGGGCCCUGCUUUUGCAUAGACUGCCCAGAAUCCAGGCAGGGGGUUGCUUGUUUAAUUUGGUGAAAGCUUGA